GAUGAACGCUGGCGGCGUGCCUAAUACAUGCAAGUCGAGCGAACGGACGAGAAGCUUGCUUCUCUGAUGUUAGCGGCGGACGGGUGAGUAACACGUGGAUAACCUACCUAUAAGACUGGGAUAACUUCGGGAAACCGGAGCUAAUACCGGAUGAUAUUUUGAACCGCAUGGUUCAAAAGUGAAAGACGGUCUUGCUGUCACUUAUAGAUGGAUCCGCGCUGCGUUAGCUAGUUGGUAAGGUAACGGCUUACCAAGGCAACGAUGCAUAGCCGACCUGAGAGGGUGAUCGGCCACACUGGAACGGAGACGCGGUCCAGACUCCUACGGGAGGCAGCAGUAGGGAAUCUUCCGCAAUGGGCGGAAGCCUGACGGAGCAACGCCGCGUGAGUGAUGAAGGUCUUCGGAUCGUAAAACUCUGUUAUUAGGGAAGAACAUAUGUGUAAGUAACUGUGCACAUCUUGACGGUACCUAAUCAGAAAGCCACGGCUAACUACGUG
Molecule: ribosomal RNA, 497 nt
Filed under: uncultured bacterium
Lineage: Bacteria
Description: partial 16S ribosomal RNA
Rfam family: Bacterial small subunit ribosomal RNA
Source: RNAcentral